CACGUAGGCGGACUCUUAAGUCAGGGGUGAAAUCCUGGAGCUCAACUCCAGAACUGCCUUUGAUACUGGGAGUCUUGAGUUCGGGAGAGGUGAGUGGAACUGCGAGUGUAGAAGUGAAAUUCGUAGAUAUUCGCAAGAACACCAGUGGCGAAGGCGGCUCACUGGCCCGAUACUGACGCUGAGGUGCGAAAGCGUGGGGAGCAAACA
RNAcentral lists this ribosomal RNA (207 nucleotides) under uncultured bacterium. RNAcentral's name for it is "partial 16S ribosomal RNA". It matches the Rfam family "Bacterial small subunit ribosomal RNA", at positions 568 to 774 of the family's 1533-position model. The record is from RNAcentral.